This 459-nucleotide ribosomal RNA is filed under the name uncultured bacterium. Its description in RNAcentral is "partial 16S ribosomal RNA". It matches the Rfam family "Bacterial small subunit ribosomal RNA", at positions 338 to 795 of the family's 1533-position model. The record is from RNAcentral.
CCUACGGGCGGCAGCAGUGAGGAAUAUUGGUCAAUGGGCGCGAGCCUGAACCAGCCAAGUCGCGUGAGGGAAGACGGUCCUAUGGAUUGUAAACCUCUUUUGUCGGGGAGCAAAAGACGCCACGCGUGGCGGUCCGAGAGUACCCGAAGAAAAAGCAUCGGCGAACUCCGUGCCAGCAGCCGCGGUAAUACGGGGGAUGCGAGCGUUAUCCGGAGUUAUUGGGGUAAAAGGGUGCGCAGGCGGAAGAUCAAGUCAGCGGUAAAAGUGAGAGGCUCAACCUCUUCGAGCCGUUGAAACUGGUUUUCUUGAGUGAGUGAGAAGUAUGCGGAAUGCGUGGUGUAGCGGUGAAAUGCAUAGAUAUCACGCAGAACUCCGAUUGCGAAGGCAGCAUACCGGCGCUCAACUGACGCUCAUGCACGAAAGUGUGGGUAUCGAACAGGAUUAGAUACCCCAGUAGUC